UACGUAGGGUGCAAGCGUUGUCCGGAAUUAUUGGGCGUAAAGAGCUCGUAGGCGGUUUGUUGCGUCGGCUGUGAAAUCCCGAGGCUCAACCUCGGGUCUGCAGUGGGUACGGGCAGACUGGAGUGCGGUAGGGGAGAAUGGAAUUCCUGGUGUAGCGGUGGAAUGCGCAGAUAUCAGGAGGAACACCGAUGGCGAAGGCAGUUCUCUGGGCCGUAACUGGCGCUGAGGAGCGAAAGCGUGGGGAGCGAACAGG
Molecule: ribosomal RNA, 253 nt
Filed under: uncultured bacterium
Lineage: Bacteria
Description: partial 16S ribosomal RNA
Rfam family: Bacterial small subunit ribosomal RNA
Source: RNAcentral